GGCUCGGUUUCCGGAAAUCUGCACACAAUACCCAUCGAUACAGUCUUUGUAGUGGCUUUGGCGGAUAGAAACUUCACAAAGAUGUGCUCAAAAGCUCAAAAGCUUUCCCGCGGGCCACUUGAAGCUUCCGCU
This is a non-coding RNA of Caenorhabditis elegans, 132 nucleotides long. Lineage: Eukaryota; Metazoa; Nematoda; Chromadorea; Rhabditida; Rhabditidae. The record is from Ensembl.